CGUAGCCAAAGAUCACCGCUGGGUUUAGCGUUGGGUUAGAGAUCACGCGCACGUCACCGCCGCCAGGUGCCCAGGUGUCAUAAAGACCACCGACAAACAUUGCUUUAAUUACCAGCAGUAGCGCACCGCAUCCGAGAAUAAUGAGGUGGAAACCAAUAAUGCUGGUCAUCUUGUUCUUAUCUUUCCA
Molecule: antisense RNA, 187 nt
Filed under: Gloeocapsa sp. PCC 7428
Lineage: Bacteria; Bacillati; Cyanobacteriota; Cyanophyceae; Chroococcidiopsidales; Chroococcidiopsidaceae
Description: Antisense RNA which regulates isiA expression
Rfam family: Antisense RNA which regulates isiA expression
Source: Rfam by way of RNAcentral